CAGUCAUGAACGAAUGGUUAGAAAUUUUCCCGACAGAAAACCAUAAAUAGUCUUUCCCUACAAUCAAAACAUAUUUUAAAGACUGUCCAAUCACUUCCAUGCAAAAUGAUCGAUCGCAUAAUGAUCAUUGCUUAAGGAAAGCCUUCUGGUUCCACGUUGACUACGGUAAAAGUCAAAACAAAUUUUUUGGUAAGCACCAUCUCAAAUUUCGUAAAGGAGAGACUUCAAUACAAAAUCUAUUCUUUUGGGAGUGAUCGGUCAACCGGUACGGAUACUACACGUGCCUCUUAAAAUUUUUCUAUCGUUUCGCGUAAAUCUAUGAAAUAGCAUAUAUUCUCUCGUCCACAACUACGUCAGCAAAAGGCGUUGGCAAUGAAAACUGUUCAAGGUGAAAAAGAUGAGUCUCAGGAGAUUCGGUUUGUUUAGCUGAGUCAUAAGAUCACGUUUGUCGAGUCAAAAGCCGCGGGAGCACGGACCCCAUCUCCGGGGACACCCCCUGUAGCUUUUGAUGCCGAAGGCAUCCCAAUCUGCCCCUUUGAGAGGGUCCGUCUCAGGAUCUUACUGAGGUCGUCCGUUAAAAUUUAUUCAUUCGAAGGUCAACCAUAGGCGACGAUAUUUCCAGCCACACGAAGAUCAAGCGCAUAGUCCCUGAAAUUAAUCUCAACGCGAAACUACUUGGUCCAGUACACGUAUUCUGUAUAAAGUCUCUUCGUUAAGAUUUCAAAUCCAGUUUCUGUCACGCGAAAUGAGGUCGCGAUUAUCUCCCCCCGUCAUGAAGUACAUCUCGGGAUGUUGAAUAAUUAUUUAUCGUUUUAUUAUAAUUCGCGAAACUUUCAAGACACUUCUUAUACGACCUCACUAUGGUUUUCGGUUCGGCCAUGAUAUAUCCAAGUAACUUGAAAAGCUCUCAAAGUGUUGAAGCACCCUCGAGAAUUCUUGGCACACUAACCCGGCAUAAAGGUACUCCUGACAAGUGGCUACCAGAAGUAGUUCACACCCUAUAAACUUAUCUCCAAGGUGGUCUUGAGACCAGUACCAAAAGAGUGCCAGCUAAUUUUCUCUUAAAGAGACUAACCAUACGUCUCUUGGCUGACAAGUCUCUAAACUGGUCUCGCAAAAAUGAACUAUACUGACUAGGUAUACCAAAGUGUCUCAGUGUCAAAGGAAGGUUCGCAGCGACUAACAAGCUUGACGUCUGCCAGUCGUAGUGUUAAAAGAACCUCAGAAAGCGGAAGCAGGGAAGCUGCGCUAAAGAUGAUCUCGUAGAGGCUGUUGAGAGAUUCGCGUCAUCGAGUUAGUUCACGCGUGAAGAAGUACUUACCGUGGUAAGCAAAGCAAGAGAGUACGAAGAAGGCAUCGAGACGGUGAUUACCAGCCGAAGGAGGCAACGAGGCUAAGGUCGGCUUCCGUCCAUGACCCCCGGCAAUUACCACUUGGCGCCCUUCGCUCUUUAGGCAGUCCACAGAGCAGUUUUGCAUAUUGCAACAAGGCCCGUGUAUUGUUGCAAAAGGGAAAAAGGGUUCGCCUGCUGGUCGAUGACCCAGUUACGUUCAUAGGGUUAAUUGCCUCAAAAUGAACGGCACGAGCUUGCAUCUUGUCUUUGUGCAGCUCUUUGUGCCGGAUAGUCAGGACUUUUGAGAAGCCUCCACAGGAACUUGGUAUACCUACUGCAUACUGAGAAGUUGGAAUUGCAGCUCGUAAGUGCAAAGGGAUGUCUGAAGUUUCGCAGGCAUUUUAGGACCACUUUUGAGAAGAGAGCAUUCAUUUUUCAAAAAGUCCGUUCCGGAUGGCCGGGAGGAAUUGCGACCGAUUCGCCGCGCGGAUGCUAAUGGUUUCGAAUUAAACCGUCCGUUUAUUCAGCAUCAAUGACAUUUGCAUAGCGGCGGAUGAAAAAGGAAAAAUGUUAAAUACACGAACCCGUUGACUUGUCGGCCAUGUUCGAGGCAUCAUUAGUGCGCUGUAGAAUCUCGUCGAAGUCUCCAACGUGUCCCUUGGGAUCGAAUUGAGGAAGAGCAAGCUAUAAGAGACGUUCUGGGCGGGACAGCAAUUUCAACGUUUUACAACUCACUGGGGACUGAUUCUCAUUUGCGUGUCAAAGCACGAAAGCCGAGCAAUUUGCGGUAUUUAUUGUUUAUUUGAAGAUUUACGGCAAUCGGAAGACAGAAGGAACACUGGAGAGUAUAUGGACAGGACGGAUGUGGAGACAAACUACAAGUGAGGAACUUCAGCAGCUGAUGAGCCGUAACCGAUCGGGGAACAAUAACCCUCCGCAAGAAGUACCGCUAUCUUUCAUUCUAUAUGGAUACCCUAGCAAGAGAGAAACUGCACGACCUUUAUCUUCGCAGAACUGUAAUCUUUAUUGUACCUAUAGAUUUGCCAAAUUUUGUGCUAAAGGAUAAAUGCAAAAAUGUUGUCAAAAAGGAAGA
Molecule: long non-coding RNA, 2426 nt
Organism: Cephus cinctus (wheat stem sawfly)
Lineage: Eukaryota; Metazoa; Arthropoda; Insecta; Hymenoptera; Cephidae
Exons: 6
Source: RefSeq, a predicted model, not a curated record